AAGUCGUAACAAGGUCUCCGUAGGUGAACCUGCGGAGGGAUCAUUAAUGAACGGCCUCGGCCUUCAACCUUGUAAACCUGUGGAAGCAAGACGUGCUUCGGUGCUUCGGCGCCGCAUUUAUGCAGCAAGGAGUUUGUCUGAACAAAAAGCAAGAAUUAAAACUUUCAACAAAGGAUCUCUUGGCUCUCGCAUCGAUGAAGAACGCAGCGAAGCGCGAAAUGUAGUGUGAAUCGCAGAACAUUGUGAAUCAUCGAAUCUUUGAACGCACAUUGCGCCUCUCUUUACCGAGAGGCAUGCCUGUCUGAGCGUCAUUUAAACCAUAGCCCCGAAAGGGUCUGUCUUGGGCUUCGCCGGUCGGCGUCGCCUCGAAGCGAUCGGUCUAAAGAGCGGACGAGGUCCACUGGGACUUACCGUUUUGCGACCUUAAACCUCCGACUUGACCUCAGAUCAGGUAGGGCUACCGCCUGAACUUAA
This 474-nucleotide small RNA is filed under the name uncultured fungus. RNAcentral describes it as "eukaryotic LSU rRNA". The stretch from base 160 to 311 matches the Rfam family "5.8S ribosomal RNA". The record is from RNAcentral. Lineage: Eukaryota; Fungi.